AUGGCAGAGGGUUUCUAUGGGGUAUUAUGGGAUGGCAGGGGGUCCCUAUGGGUCUCUAUGGGGGCUAUGGGGCUCUAUGGGUCCCUAUGGGGUCUCUAUGGGGGCUCUUUGGGGGCUAUGGGGCUCUAUGGGGUCUCUAUGGGGCCUAUGGGGUCUCUAUGGUGCUCUAUGGGGUCUCUAUGGGUCUCUAUAGGGUCUCUAUGGGGUCUUUAUGGGGUUCUAUGGGUCCCUAUGGAUCCCUAUGGGGUCUCUUUGGGCUCUAUGGGGUCUUUAUGGGGUUCUAUGGGGUCCCUAUGGGGUCUCUAUGAGUCUCAAUGGGUCUCAAUGGGGUCUUUAUGGGGUUCUAUGGGGCUCUAUGAGGUCUCUAUGGAUCCCUAUGGGGUCUUUUGGGGGCUCUAUGGGGUUCUAUGGGGCUAUGGGUCUCUGUGGGUCUCUAUGGGGCUCUAUGGAGUCUAUGGGGUCUUUAUGGGGUCUAUGGGGUCUCUAUGGGGUCUUUAUGGGGUCCCUAUGGGGUCUCUAUGGGUCUCUAUGGGGCUCUAUGGGGUCUAUAGGGUCUUAAAGGGGUUCUAUGGGGCUCUAUGGGGUCUUUAUGGGUCUCUAUGGGGCUCUAUGGGGCUCUAUGGGGUCUUUAUGGGGUUCUAUGGGGUCUCUAUGGGGCUCUAUGGGGUUCUAUGGGGUCUCUAUGGGGUCUCUAUGGGGUUUCUAUGGGGUCUCUAUGAGUCUCUAUGGGGUCUUAAAGGGGUUCUAUGGGUCUUUAUGGGGCUCUAUGGGGUCUCUAUGGAUCUCUAUGGGGUCUGUAUGGGGUCCUAUGGGGUCUCUAUGGGGCUCUAUGGGGUCUCUAUGGGGUCUUUAUGGGGUCCCUAUGAGUCUCUAUGGGUCUCUAUGGGGUCUAUAGGGUCUUAAAGGGGUUCUAUGGGGCUCUAUGGGGUCUUUAUGGGGCUCUAUGGGGUCUCUAUGGAUCCCUAUGCGUCCCUAUGGGGUCUCUAUGGGGUCUAUGGGGUCUCUAUGGGGCUCUAUGGGGUCUAUAGGGUCUUAAAGGGGUUCUAUGGGGUUCUAUGGGGUCUCUAUGGGGUCUCAAUGGGUCUCAAUGGGUCCCUAUGGGUCUCUAUGGGGCCCUAUGGGUCCCUAUGGGGUCUAUGGGGUCCCAUCCAUCCCAUAAUACCCCAUAUAUCCCAUAAUACCCCCAUCCACCCCAUAAUAUCCCCCUCCAUCCCAUAAUACCCGGCCGCCAUUUUGGACUUUGAUCCCCCCCGUCCGCCAUCUUGGAUUUAAGCUCCGCCCCUUUUUGGGGCCUGGUUUCUUUUUUAAGGUGAAACCGAGCGAUUUUGGUUAAAAAAAGCCCCAUUUUUACCUUUUUUCUUCAUUUUUUUCACCAUUUUGUUGCCUCCGAUCAUUUUUUGGGCUGAAAACGGCCAAUUUUAGGGGUUUGAGCCUCAAUUUUGGGGGAAAAUCACUAAUUUUGGGGCUGAUUGACAUUUCCUACCAGUUUUGCCCCAAAAUCCCCAUUUUUAUUGCUCAAAAAUCGCCAUUUUGACCCAAAAUUCCCAUUUUUCACUCUCAAAAAUCACCAUUUUUAAUUCAAGUCGCCAUUUUGACCCAAAUCCCCAUUUUCCAAUGUCAAAAAUCCCCAUUUUUAACCAAAAUCCCAAUUUUUUACCCCCCAAAAUCCCCAUUUUUUACCAAAAAUUCCCAUUUUUCAUCCUCAAAAUUCCCAUUUCUGCCCCAAAUUGCCCCAAAUCUUCAUUUUUCACUCCAAAAAUCCCCAUUUUUAACCAAAAUCCCCAUUUCUUAACCCUCCAAAUCUUCAUUUUUGCCCCCAAAAUCCCCAUUUUUCAUUCCCAAAAAUCCCCAUUUUGACCCAAAAACCCCAAUUUUUCAUCCUCAAAAUUCCCAUUUUGGCCCC
This 1903-nucleotide long non-coding RNA is filed under the name Coturnix japonica (Japanese quail). Its description in RNAcentral is "lncRNA (ENSCJPG00005006515.1)". Lineage: Eukaryota; Metazoa; Chordata; Aves; Galliformes; Phasianidae. The record is from RNAcentral.